GAUGAAUUAGCUCAGUAGGUUAGAGCAACUGCCUGUUAAGUAGUAGGUCAAAGGUUCGAGUCCUUUAUUCAUCG
RNAcentral lists this transfer RNA (74 nucleotides) under Vibrio phage 1.186.O._10N.286.49.E3. RNAcentral describes it as "tRNA-Asn". It matches the Rfam family "tRNA". From Rfam's summary of the family: Transfer RNA (tRNA) molecules are approximately 80 nucleotides in length. Lineage: Duplodnaviria; Heunggongvirae; Uroviricota; Caudoviricetes. The record is from RNAcentral. RNAcentral also lists the same sequence under 4 other names.